This 404-nucleotide ribosomal RNA is filed under the name Actinomycetes bacterium. RNAcentral describes it as "Actinobacteria bacterium partial 16S ribosomal RNA". It matches the Rfam family "Bacterial small subunit ribosomal RNA", at positions 355 to 776 of the family's 1533-position model. The record is from RNAcentral. Lineage: Bacteria; Bacillati; Actinomycetota; Actinomycetes.
UGGGGAAUAUUGGACAAUGGGCGCAAGCCUGAUCCAGCCAUGCCGCGUGAGUGAUGAAGGCCCUAGGGUUGUAAAGCUCUUUCACCGGUGAAGAUAAUGACGGUAACCGGAGAAGAAGCCCCGGCUAACUUCGUGCCAGCAGCCGCGGUAAUACGAAGGGGGCUAGCGUUGUUCGGAUUUACUGGGCGUAAAGCGCACGUAGGCGGACUAUUAAGUCAGGGGUGAAAUCCCGGGGCUCAACCCCGGAACUGCCUUUGAUACUGGUAGUCUUGAGUUCGAGAGGGGUGAGUGGAAAUCCGAGUGUAGAGGUGAAAUUCGUAGAUAUUCGGGGAAACACCAGUGGCGAAGGCGGCUCACUGGCUCGAUACUGACGCUGAGGUGCGAAAGCGUGGGGAGCAAACAGG